Molecule: ribosomal RNA, 274 nt
Filed under: uncultured bacterium
Lineage: Bacteria
Description: partial 16S ribosomal RNA
Rfam family: Bacterial small subunit ribosomal RNA
Source: RNAcentral
AUACGGAGGGGGCUAGCGUUGUUCGGAAUUACUGGGCGUAAAGCGCGCGUAGGCGGUCCGCGUAGUCAGGCGUGAAAGCCCCGGGCUCAACCUGGGAACUGCGCUUGAUACUGGCGGGCUAGAGUCCGGGAGAGGGUAGCGGAAUUCCCAGUGUAGAGGUGAAAUUCGUAGAUAUUGGGAAGAACACCAGUGGCGAAGGCGGCUACCUGGACCGGUACUGACGCUGAGGUGCGAAAGCGUGGGGAGCAAACAGGAUUAGAAACCCCAGUAGUCC